CCUAUGGGUGGCUGCAGUGGGGAAUAUUGGACAAUGGGCGCAAGCCUGAUCCAGCAAUGCCGCGUGUGUGAAGAAGGCCUGCGGGUUGUAAAGCACUUUUGUUCGGGAAGAAGGCACGCUGGUUAAUACCCGGCGUGGAUGACGGUACCGAAAGAAUAAGCACCGGCUAACUUCGUGCCAGCAGCCGCGGUAAUACGAAGGGUGCAAGCGUUAAUCGGAGUGAGUGGGCGUGGAGUUUUCGUACGCAGGUGAAAUCCCCGGGCUCAACCUGGGAAUGGCAUCCGAUACUGGGGAGCUGGAGUUUGGGAGAGGGUGGUGGAAUUCCCGGUGUAGCGGUGAAAUGCGUAGAGAUCGGGAGGAACAUCAGUGGCGAAGGCGGCCACCUGGCCUAAAACUGACGCUGAGGCACGAAAGCGUGGGGAGCAAACAGGAUUAGAUACCCUUGUAGUC
RNAcentral lists this ribosomal RNA (450 nucleotides) under uncultured bacterium. RNAcentral's name for it is "partial 16S ribosomal RNA". It matches the Rfam family "Bacterial small subunit ribosomal RNA", at positions 338 to 795 of the family's 1533-position model. The record is from RNAcentral.